This 253-nucleotide ribosomal RNA is filed under the name uncultured bacterium. Its description in RNAcentral is "partial 16S ribosomal RNA". It matches the Rfam family "Bacterial small subunit ribosomal RNA", at positions 524 to 776 of the family's 1533-position model. The record is from RNAcentral.
UACGUAGGGGGCGAGCGUUAUCCAGAUUUACUGGGCGUAAAGGGCGCGUAGGCGGCCCUCUAAGUCGAACGUGAAAUCCCCGGGCUCAACCCGGGAACUGCGUCCGAUACUGGAAGGCUUGAAUCCGGGAGAGGGAUGCGGAAUUCCAGGUGUAGCGGUGAAAUGCGUAGAUAUCUGGAGGAACACCGGUGGCGAAGGCGGCAUCCUGGACCGGCAUUGACGCUGAGGCGCGAAAGCUAGGGGAGCAAACAGG